AUGUAGUUUUGCCAAACCCUGAGCGAUCAGGGGACGGAAAGUCCACGGAACUUGGGUUCCACUGCCUCUCUCUUUACUACCUCCACUGUUUUCCCCAUCCCAAGUUGGCCGGAUUAUCGGA
RNAcentral lists this non-coding RNA (121 nucleotides) under Desulfuromonadales bacterium. RNAcentral describes it as "c-di-GMP sequence". It matches the Rfam family "c-di-GMP-I riboswitch aptamer". From Rfam's summary of the family: GEMM was predicted in a large-scale screen for bacterial structured RNA regulatory elements. Genes associated with GEMM are involved in a diverse array of functions, including chemotaxis regulation, signal transduction, secretion and chitin. Lineage: Bacteria; Pseudomonadati; Thermodesulfobacteriota; Desulfuromonadia; Desulfuromonadales. The record is from RNAcentral.